RNAcentral lists this ribosomal RNA (450 nucleotides) under uncultured bacterium. RNAcentral's name for it is "bacterial SSU rRNA". It matches the Rfam family "Bacterial small subunit ribosomal RNA", at positions 346 to 793 of the family's 1533-position model. The record is from RNAcentral.
AGGCAGCAGUAAGGAAUAUUGGUCAAUGGACGCAAGUCUGAACCAGCCAUGCCGCGUGAAGGAUGAAGGCCCUCUGGGUUGUAAACUUCUUUUAUCUGGGACGAAAAACGGGCUUUCUAGCUCACUUGACGGUACCAGAGGAAUAAGCACCGGCUAACUCCGUGCCAGCAGCCGCGGUAAUACGGAGGGUGCAAGCGUUAUCCGGAUUUACUGGGUUUAAAGGGUGCGUAGGUGGGUAAGUAAGUCAGUGGUGAAAUCUCCGAGCUUAACUCGGAAACUGCCAUUGAUACUAUUUAUCUUGAAUUAUCUGGAGGUAAGCGGAAUAUGUCAUGUAGCGGUGAAAUGCUUAGAUAUGACAUAGAACACCGAUUGCGAAGGCAGCUUACUACGGAUAUAUUGACACUGAGGCACGAAAGCGUGGGGAUCAAACAGGAUUAGAUACCCUGGUAG